UGUGCCAAACACCCCUGGGCCGGCCCUGCCUCCUAGUUAUCGCCUCCACUCCCAGGCUCCAUUUCUGGGGAGGACCCAAGAGAAGUUUAACCCCAAUUUCACAGGAGAGACCAACACUCAGAGAAAGGGUGGGACCUACCCAAGACCAAACAGCUCAAACCCUUAAUUAACUCUUGCCUCGCGAGUUCUGGCCUUCUCAGCUGUUUCCAAGGGCAGAGCAAAAUGCGGUAUGCCGCCAGGCACGCCCCCACAUCUGGGGCCUCACUCUGCCCUAACGGCCUGCCAUGUGACUGCCACGUGCUGCUCCUGCGCUCCAUUCUGGUGUCCUCUGAGACAGGCCUCCCCCGACCUCCCCUUACAAAGCCCCUCCCAUCACUCCCGGCAUCCAGCCUCGCUUGUUCUUCACUGCACUUACUGGAACCAGACAUCGUGUUAUAUUGCCCAUCUGUGUUUCUUGUCUCCCCACUAGGACGUGAGCCUUGAGGGGGGUCUUUUCCUGCUCAUUCUUGUAUUUCCUGCCUUAGAACAGGACCCAGCCAGUGGGGGUGGCCCAGCAACUGCUGGUGGGCUUUCUAAAGCACCUAUCUAAGCCACAAGCCUGCCAAGGCUCCCCCACUGCUGGAUAAAGCCCAAACAGCCACUCCUGUCCUCCAGGACCUGCCCUAACCUUUCUUCUUCUGGCUCAUCUUCUGCCAUUUCCUCCCCUACACUCCUUAAACUCUCCCCAGGCCUCUGCCUGUGCUGCUCCUCGGCCCGGGAUGCCAUUAUCCCUUCUCCACCAGGCUCAUCUCCAAGAGUCUUCCCUCCUGCCCACAGACAGCUCACCCUCACCGCACCACCAGGGUUAGGAU
This 851-nucleotide long non-coding RNA is filed under the name Pan troglodytes (chimpanzee). Its description in RNAcentral is "long non-coding RNA NONPTRT000257". The record is from RNAcentral. Lineage: Eukaryota; Metazoa; Chordata; Mammalia; Primates; Hominidae.